UACGUAGGGCGCAAGCGUUGUCCGGAAUUAUUGGGCGUAAAGCGCACGUAGGCGGCUUUGUAAGUUAGAGGUGAAAGCCCGGGGCUCAACUCCGGAAUUGCCUUUAAGACUGCAUCGCUAGAAUUGUGGAGAGGUGAGUGGAAUUCCGAGUGUAGAGGUGAAAUUCGUAGAUAUUCGGAAGAACACCAGUGGCGAAGGCGACUCACUGGACACAUAUUGACGCUGAGGCGCGACAGCGUGGGGAGCAAACAGG
RNAcentral lists this ribosomal RNA (253 nucleotides) under uncultured bacterium. RNAcentral's name for it is "partial 16S ribosomal RNA". It matches the Rfam family "Bacterial small subunit ribosomal RNA", at positions 524 to 776 of the family's 1533-position model. The record is from RNAcentral.